GAUGAAGAACGUAGCGAAAUGCGAUAAGUAAUGUGAAUUGCAGAAUUCAGUGAAUCAUCGAAUCUUUGAACGCACAUUGCGCCCGCCAGUAUUCUGGCGGGCAUGCCUGUCUGAGCGUCAUUUCAACCCUCAAGCAACUUCUGCUUGGUGUUGGGGAUCGGCCGUUAAACGCCGCCCCCGAAAUCUAUUGGCGAUCUCGCUGUAGCUUCCUAUGCGUAGUAGUAACAUCUCGCAUCUGGAGAGCGGCGCGGUCAUGCUGUAAAACACCCAACUUCUCAGGUUGACCUCAGAUCAGGUAGGAAUACCCGCUGAACUUAAGCAUAUCAAUAAGCGGAGGA
This 338-nucleotide unclassified non-coding RNA is filed under the name soil metagenome. Its description in RNAcentral is "partial contains 5.8S ribosomal RNA, internal transcribed spacer 2, and large subunit ribosomal RNA". The stretch from base 1 to 120 matches the Rfam family "5.8S ribosomal RNA", at positions 35 to 154 of the family's 154-position model. The record is from RNAcentral.